RNAcentral lists this ribosomal RNA (443 nucleotides) under uncultured bacterium. RNAcentral's name for it is "partial 16S ribosomal RNA". It matches the Rfam family "Bacterial small subunit ribosomal RNA", at positions 338 to 795 of the family's 1533-position model. The record is from RNAcentral.
CCUACGGGAGGCAGCAGUGGGGAAUAUUGGGCAAUGGGCGCAAGCCUGACCCAGCAACGCCGCGUGAAGGAAGAAGGCUUUCGGGUUGUAAACUUCUUUUAUCAGGGACGAAGCAAGUGACGGUACCUGAUGAAUAAGCCACAGCUAACUACGUGCCAGCGGCCGCCGUAAUACGUAGGUGGCAAGCGUUAUCCGGAUUUACUGGGUGUAAAGGGCGUGUAGGCGGGAAAGCAAGUCAGAUGUGAAAACCAUGGGCUCGACCUGUGGCCUGCAUUUGAAACUGUUUGUCUUGAGUAAUGGAGAGGCAGACGGAAUGCGUAGUGUAGCGGUGAAAUGCGUAGAUAUUAGGAGGAACACCAGUGGCGAAGGCGGUCUGCUGGACAGCAACUGACGCUGAGGCGCGAAAGCGUGGGGAGCAAACAGGAUUAGAUACCCCGGUAGUC